Molecule: small nuclear RNA, 100 nt
Filed under: Prolemur simus (greater bamboo lemur)
Lineage: Eukaryota; Metazoa; Chordata; Mammalia; Primates; Lemuridae
Source: RNAcentral
GUGCUUGCUUCGGCAGCACAUAUACUAAAAUUGGAAUGAUACAGCAAAGAUUAGCAUGGCCCCUGGGCAAGAAUGACACAAAGAAAAAACAGUAGUGUUU